RNAcentral lists this ribosomal RNA (122 nucleotides) under Oryzias melastigma (Indian medaka). The record is from RNAcentral. Lineage: Eukaryota; Metazoa; Chordata; Actinopteri; Beloniformes; Adrianichthyidae.
CAUUCGCAGCAUUGGUACUGCUGUACCACACGGGAAUCAUCUGAUCCCAGAAGCUGGGCAGAGUUGGACCCGGUUGGUUCUUGGACAGGAGACCACCUGAGAGUACCAAGUCUUGUGAAUGA